UUCUACCAGCGGCAUGCGGACCGUCGGUGUGACGCCGGAGCGGCCGGCGAGGUGGAGCCGGCGCUGGAGACGCGGGUGUGAUCGGACCGCGUUGACAGGAG
RNAcentral lists this transfer RNA (101 nucleotides) under Microbispora amethystogenes. RNAcentral describes it as "tRNA-Arg". The record is from RNAcentral. Lineage: Bacteria; Bacillati; Actinomycetota; Actinomycetes; Streptosporangiales; Streptosporangiaceae.